RNAcentral lists this ribosomal RNA (253 nucleotides) under uncultured bacterium. RNAcentral describes it as "partial 16S ribosomal RNA". It matches the Rfam family "Bacterial small subunit ribosomal RNA", at positions 524 to 776 of the family's 1533-position model. The record is from RNAcentral.
UACGAAGGGGGCUAGCGUUGCUCGGAAUGACUGGGCGUAAAGGGCGCGUGGGCGGUUUGGACAGUCAGAUGUGAAAUUCCUGGGCUCAACCUGGGGGCUGCAUUUGAUACGUUCGGACUAGAGUGGGGAAGAGGGUCGUGGAAUUCCCAGUGUAGAGGUGAAAUUCGUAGAUAUUGGGAAGAACACCGGUGGCGAAGGCGGCGACCUGGUCCUUGACUGACGCUGAGGCGCGAAAGCGUGGGGAGCAAACAGG